UUUUCCUAAAGAGGAACCGUUUAUACCUCAUGAUACAUCGAUGCCUGGAACUGGGCUCGCUUUAAAGUAGAGCGGAAAUGUAAGAAAUGCUCUUAGCAGAGGACAAGCAGAGCUCUUUGUGUAUAAACUGAAGCAGAAGGCAGAAAGAUGUCACAGUGGAGGAGGACCAACACAACGUGCUAUUGCUGUGUCUUUGCUCAGCUCCUACAGAACACAAUGGAAAACUUCUGAUGAACGAUUUGGAGAGUCAAAGGUAAAUUAUUAUUAUUAUUUUUUGUGGUUUUUUGCUGCUUUUAUCAGAUGCAGGUCUUAACCUGAAGUGUCUUUUUAUAUCUGUAAUGCUGAUACAUGUCUCAUACUGAUAUGGAUGAAUGAAUAUGAUGAUGAAAUGAUUCAGAAGCCAAACCUCAUGGUUUAUGAAACAUAAAAAUAGGAGUAUGAUUUAAAGUACUAAAAUAUGGUCAGUAUUGUGGACCAGUCCUUUGGUGAGAAUAUCUUAUACAGUGUAAAGUUUAGAACUAAACCUUCUUUCACAGGAGUGUUUAAGCACUUCCAGAGAUAUGGAGCUAAGUCUUCUAUUAUUUUAACAUUGACGUUCAUUGUAGUGAAGUAAAGCAAUAUUGCCAGUGUUUAUGAUUUAGCUUUGAGGAUUUUAAUAUCCACAGCUUUUUUUUUUUUUUUUUUUUUUAAAUGAACCUGAGGUCCUGGAACUGGGUAUGUGUGGGUGUAUAUACAUAUUUUUUAAGUCUACAAUGGUAAGAAUAAUGAAGAUAAUUACUUCAAACAUGAAAAUAGUGAUUUGGGUGCAGCUAGGGAGCAAAAAAUCUCAAACUCAUUCUCUAGUUCACAGUGUGUUUCAAAACAUGUACGUUUUUUCCUUACUUUGGAUGUCCUGCUAUGAGUGACACGAAGAGAAGCUAGGGAGUUCACACAAGCAUCCGAUCAAGCUCCUUCCAGCAAACUGGGUGUCUGCUGAUUCCAAUUAGGUGCUCCUCUGGUAGCUGUCAACAGAGGAAAUCAAGUGUUGUCUGGUAGUCUUAGAGCUCUGUGAGGCAAGUUGCUUUUUCCCUGCAGAGACAAAGACUUCAGCACCCUGAACUAUGAGGCCCCACUCAUAUGGCCAGUAAUUGGUGCUGUAGGAAAUUGCUGCACCCUGUUUAUCCCCACCAUCUCUCUGAAACAAUGGCACUGUGAGUACAGGGAGGCUCGCUGACAGGUUAGUGAAGCCUUGUGCUGUGAUUCAGGGAAGAGGCAGCUUGACCCAUGCCCUGCUGCUUCUCUCUCAGCAUUCAGAAAUCCAGAAGGUCCAUUCACAGACAAAAGUUUGAUACGUUGAGACUCAGCCCUGGGAGUGCCAGAAGGCUGUUUAACUCAUUGGCUUCAGUGAGGACUUCUGAUAUUUCAUGUGCUCUUGAGGAUCCAUCUUUUCUGCUUAAUGAUUAGCUGUAUACUGAGAAAGAAUUGUUCACAAAGAGGGAAUUUGGUAUGCUGAUUGCUGUGUGGUUUCUAAAAUAGAAUGGUAUGGAGGACUUCUGUAUUUUCAAAGCACUGUACAACCUUCAUAGAAUCAGUUGAGUUAGAAGGAACCCUUAAAAGUCACCUAGUGCAACUCCCCUGCAAUGAAGAGGGACAUCUGCAGCAGUGUACAAAUCCUCCCUGCCCCCAGGAUUGCUGAGUAUGGAUGUUUCUGUUCAUGAAGGGAAAAGUCAUCUAGGCUUGGAAGUAGUCUUAAAAUAUGUUUAGGAUUGGAAGAUCUGGUUUGACGCUGGGAGCUUUUUUGUAGUUUUAACUCAGGGAAUUUUAUAAAAACAAAAAACAAAAAACCAAAACAAACAAAACAAGACAAGAAACUUCAAAACCAGAAAUUAGUUGCGUGAGAGGAAAAAACUGCAAGACAAAGGAAAAACCUUAUGGCUGUUUUGGACAUAUAAGCUUGUAGUCCCCAUGAAGAUAGAAGAAUUCUCCUGAAAAACAGUAGGCAUUACUGGGAUGGAGUAUUUGCUUUUCUGUGUGUAUGGGAAAUAAAACAUCUUUAUAUUAGCCACCCUUAUACUGUGUCUAUUGCUGAAUGGCAGUCAGUUAGGACAGAGAAUAUCUAAUAACAUUGUAUAUAUGCAUGCAUCCAUUCAUCUACUUACUUAUCCAUAUGUUAUCUACAUAUCUAUCCAUUUACCCACCUAUCCAUCCCUGUUUUUAAUGACCAACUGUCCCUCUCUGUAUUUUAAGAACAGAGAUGGAAUGGCAAGGGAGUGCUUUGUGAAAACCUAGGAAAUACAAAUUAUGUUAUCUGCUAUGUCUGUGUCAAACUGGGGCUGUGUGGUGCAUCACUGUGGAAAAAAGAAAGGACUGCAUAUACAGUACUGGGGGGAACCAGUACUGCCCAGGGGUGUCUGCCUCUCAGAGUCACGUAAUCCUGACUUCAGAUCACACCUUGUAGCAUUAACAGGGUGGGAGGGAGUUCCCUUCACUUGUGAGCGAGCUGGGUGGGAAAGGUAUUGUGAACACUUCAGAUUAUACUCCAGCCCAAGGAAUCUCCUGCACAAUGAUGCACUGUUUUUUACAAUUAAUUAAUUGUCUAUUUGCUUUGAGGCUGCUCGAUAUCCUAGCACAGAAGCAGCAGUAAUACUUACCUAGACAACAUUGCCUUCUGUCACGGAUUGAUUCUCACUUGGAAGAAAAGAAGAAAAAAACACAACAAUUCAAGUAGGAGCCAAAAAUAAUGUCUCCUGUAUAUAGCAUUCCUGCACUGGAAUAAAAAUGACUGGCAACUCCCUGUGUAUUUUUAUGACCUCCAAAAAUAAAUCUAAAUCUCAGGAAAAAAUGAAUGAUGCCACGGAAAGAACUGGUAAAGGGUGAUUUGUCUGUAACGGUGCUGAGAUCAUCUUCUAUAUUAUGUGUCACUAGCUGGAAACAUGGGCCAUUUUUCUCUCUCCUCUUUAUUGCUAGGACUGAAGUGCAUCAAUUUUGAUGAAGUUUCAGUACAGUGGGGAGAACUGAUGUAAUGUUCACAUGAAAACUGAGAGUUCCCUCCUGCUCUGUGUGAACUGGAUCACUGUGUCAAUGAGGAACCCUGGAGUAGUAGGGAGAAGCUAGAUUUAUAAGCAGCAAUACCAGCAAGUUUGUAUGCGAGUGCUAACUUGUGGGUAAGAUUUUUGGGGAAGCACAUACAUUCAAGGAGAAGAAGUUUUUUGUCCAUGGAUGAGGCUGUGGCAUUUUGCAGAGGGGAGGAGAGAUAAGGAGCCAACUCCAGAACUACAGGUUAACAAUCAAUGCAGCAUUGGCCAGCCUGGCCCCCAGGUAUGCCUUGGGUUUCCUGAGGCUGAGGACACUAUUCUGUCUGUACUGGAGCUUGUCUGCCUUGAAGGUUACUGUCCCCACAGUAAAUCUACAUGUCUCCAUGCUCCCCAGUUUAGUUCUACCAGCUGACAUAGCCUAAAAUUUGUUCUAAUAAAAAUGCUUAAACAAGUUCAAUAGACAAACAGGUUGUUUUGACAGGUAAGCAUGUCUACUUUAAGUAGUGAGGCUGUAUAGGUGUAAUUACAAAGUGAAUGGAUCACCAGAGGAUAUAUAAGGAAGAAACUCGCAGUCAAGAUAGAUGCUCACUAGCAUUAAGGCUUACCACAAAAGCUCCACACAGGAGCAAUCUCCAGAAAGAGAUACUACCUUAAUGGUGGUUGGCCUUAAAUGGGAUCCAGGAGAGGUGGAGUCAGGCUCCACUCUUUCUGGGAGCACAGCUGAAUUACCUUCACCUGUGCUCCUGCAGCUGACUGUCACUUGCCUCAGAUGGGUUAAUCAGAGGUUUAGGCUGUGAUUAAUAGUUUCCCAUACAGUGGUGUAAUAGGGUCGGAUCUGGAAAACAAAACAGCUGCAGUUAAAUAUCUAACAUGGACAUGAAAUGUUUCAGAGGGAGCUUAUUUUGGAGACACUCUAUUCUUGCCUUGUUAGCCAAAUUAUUGCUGCAGCUCAUUAGAUGUAUUCUUGGAUCACAUCUUCUGGCCUAUUUUCAUCCAAAGGGAAUUUAGUCUACCAAUUAUGAGGCUACAGCACAACAGGAAAUGAAAUGCAGUGAACAGGAAAUUCACUUCAAAAAACAACUCCUGAUCUGAACUAAAAAGUUAGUGUAGAUGCAGCUUACUAAUAGUCUGGUGGUUGAGUAACUGGUGAUUCUCAUGGGAGUUUUGUUUAGUGAUGACGGGAGGGCUGAAAACUUCUUAAUCCAGCUCAGUUACAGCCUACAUACCAUACAGGCCUGCAGCUGAAUGCACGACAUCUCAAACCACUGCCAACAUCAGAAGCAAGGCUGCCUGAGCAUUAACAUGUAGCUUAUUUACCAGCUACUGCUUCAGGACAGGUAAUUCCUACUUAUGAUAGUUGAUUCUGGAGGAAUAACUGUGUUCCCUCUCCCACAAUGGCUGUUAAAUGGCUUAUGAGUUGUAGUGGAAAUGCUAAAUUGUGGCUUGGAAGAGUGAUUGAGCACCUGGUGGGAGCUCAGGUGCAUGCAGACCCAGCCUGCAUUUAAAGGUUGGCAGUGGAGGUGAGGGUAUUUUGCUGGGGAUCCUUGCAUACGUGAGGCCUUCCAAAGGUAAGUAUAUUUUCUUUCUUUCUGUUUGCGUUCACAGCUGCUAUAUUUGGGCUUAUCCAUGUUUGCUGUAGUCUAAUACUUUGCUACCCUUCUAUUAUUUCUAUACUUUCCAUUGCGUUGCAUUAUGUGAGAAUAAAGGAUGAUGGGCUUGGGCUGGGAACAUCCUAGGACAUUUGAUUGAGCCUUCCUGUGCAUGUAAGAAGGCACUGAGCAGCUUUCUGGAGUCAUGAGAGCAUGAAAUGGGAUCAUGAAGCAGAUCAUUUGUGUAAGAGGGCUUAUGUUCUGCUGUCCCAGCUGGACCUAAAAGGGAAAUGUGGACAAGGAUAAUUGCCCAAGAGACUAAGAGCUGCUUUUAAGUGUUCUUGAGAGCCCCAGGCUUCACUAAAAUGCAGCUUUUGCUGAGAGCUGGUGACAAAAGCGAGCUCCUCUGCCACUUGCUCUCCAGCUCACUCAAUCCUGCAUGUACAUACAUAGCACUGGGGUUGUAUCCUGCUGUCCCUGAGGUUACUGAUAACCUUGAUCAAGACCAGUGUAAGGGUCUAUUAUUCUCUUACUCUGAGUUUGAAUUGUUCAAGUAAGCAAGGAAAUUUUCAGGUUAGCAGGCUGCACCACCACUUCCUAUAAAGAACAGAAUGUACAAAUUGAUAUGCUGUAAUAUUGAGAAGUUAAAAUCCUGCCAUACAGCAGUAUUUGUGCACCUACAGAGUAAGUGGAUCAGAGAGGCGCCUGAAUGACUUUCCACUUGUUCUUGGCAACUGUGCAACAUUAAGAAAUUUAGAUCUCUUGCUGUGCAUGAUGAUAUAAAGUACCAAGAUGUGGAGAGUUAGACUCCUUGAUUAUCUACAUCUAUUAUGCAAAUUUCAGUUGGUGGUAUUUCAACACGAUCUGAUAGUGAUAAGACAAGAGGAAAUGGUUUUAAACUAAAAGGGGAGUUUUAAGUUAGGUGUGAGGAGGAAAUUCUUUCAGUGGUGAGACCCUGGCAUAGGCUGUCCAGAGAAGUGUGGGCGCCCCAUCCCUGGAGGUGCUCAAGGCUAGGCUGGAUGCACUCUUUACACUGUCAGUCUCUAAAUAAAUAAAAAUAAAAAAAUCAGCAAACAAUUAUUUGCAAUUAAAAGUUCAGAAACUGUGUAUAAAUGUUUACUAACAAACAAUUAACAGGAAGUAUAGCAUCUGCACUGUUGCCUGAAACCUGAACAUGAAAAUUUUGUCUGUACUUCUAGGAGAGCCAAUAUGAUUACAUUAAUUUUAUAGCUGGGCUAAUAAAAAGAGAAAGCAUUCAGUCAGCCAAAAAACAAAACAAAACAAAAAACACCAUUUCAACAAGCUGAUUUUUCUUAGGAUGGAAUUUGUGAAUUUUCAGUGUCUCAGGUACUUUUACUUUGUUCAGGGAGAAACAAAAAUUGGUCAUUUUCAUAUGAAGAAGAAACCAGUGACCUUUGAACAGUAGUGUAGGCAGAUCCUGUGUAGAUGGCAGCCACGGGGCUUACGAAGAGAUGAGAUUUGUUGUUGCUGUCACUGCAGAGCUCUCACUUUCCUGUUCACUGCUUUCUACUCCCAUUAAAUAAAUAAAUAAUAAUAAUUAAAAACUCUUCAUUUCCUCCUCCACACAUUCUUUCUACAGCAACAAAGAAUGACUGAGUGGUCAGAUAUUCUUCAUAUGCAUUUUGAAGAUUUUUUUCCAUGGAUGCUGGCAUGACGAUUGGGGAAAUCUUUAAUGAAGGCUUGGAGAAUCAUAGAAUCCAGAAUUAUAUGUGAUUCUGGGGGGAGGAGAGGGGCGUGGAAGAAAAGAAGAAUAUGAAUAAACAGUUUAAAUCA
Non-coding RNA from Coturnix japonica (Japanese quail), 6397 nucleotides. The record is from RefSeq and is a predicted model, not a curated record. Lineage: Eukaryota; Metazoa; Chordata; Aves; Galliformes; Phasianidae.